CCUACGGGAGGCAGCAGUGAGGAAUAUUGGUCAAUGGGCGUAAGCCUGAACCAGCCAAGUCGCGUGAGGGAUGAAGGUUCUAUGGAUCGUAAACCUCUUUUAUAAGGGAAUAAAGUGUGGGACGUGUACCGUUUUGUAUGUACCUUAUGAAUAAGGAUCGGCUAACUCCGUGCCAGCAGCCGCGGUAAUACGGAGGAUCCGAGUGUUAUCCGGAUUUAUUGGGUUUAAAGGGUGCGUAGGCGGCCUUUUAAGUCAGCGGUGAAAGUCUGUGGCUCAACCAUAGAAUUGCCUUUGAAACUGGGAGGCUUGAGGAUGGUUGAGGCAGGCAGAAUGCGUGGUGUAGCGGUGAAAUGCGUAGAUAUCACGCAGAACCCCGAUGGCGAAGGCAGCCUGCCAAGCCAUGACUGACGCUGAUGCACGAAAGCGUGGGGAGCAAACAGGAUUAGAUACCCGUGUAGUC
Molecule: ribosomal RNA, 460 nt
Filed under: uncultured bacterium
Lineage: Bacteria
Description: partial 16S ribosomal RNA
Rfam family: Bacterial small subunit ribosomal RNA
Source: RNAcentral